GGUAAAUUGCUGUCAUCAGCUACAGGAUUAUCAGAAGGAGGCUCAUGAGAUUCAUGGUUGUUCGGAGCCAUCACCGGUUCCAACGCGCUUGGUGCCUCAAUUCAGGAAGUGAUGCAACGGGAGACUCAGUGGAUGGGUCAGGGAAUGAUGAUGCAACAGGAGACUCAGUAGAUGGCACAAAGUCAGUGGUAAUAGGAAACUCGAUAGAUUCUGUGGUAAAGAAGUCAAAGAACCAAUCUUCAUUCCAUUGCUCCCCUUGAAGAGAGGGCUUUGGGAAAUAAGGAGUGGUUUCAAAGAAUGUGACAUCAAGGCCAACAAACAUUUUCUUUGAGACAGGGUCAUAGCAUUUGUAGCCUUUCUGAGUAGUGGAGUAACCAAUGAAGACACAUUUAAUGGCACGAGGAUCCAAUUUAUCGCGAUGGUGAGCAUGAAUAUGAACAAAAGCCAUACAGCCAAAGAUUUUGAGUGGAAAUACUGGAGGGGAGUCGUGAGGUAGGAAAAUAUUCUUGGAAUUUCUGGAGAGGAGUGGCAAAGGAAAGUACUCGACUCGGCAUUCGAUUAAUGAGAUGUGUAGCUGUUAAGAUGGCAUCUCCCCAAAAAUAGUUUCUCAUGUUUGUAGUAAACAUCAAUGCUCGAGCUACUUCAAGUAUAUGUCUGUUUUUUCUUUCAACAACCCCAUUUUGUUGAGGGGUAUCCACACAAGAACUCUAAUGAACAAUUCCUUUUUCUUGAAGAUAAGUUCCCAGAACAUCAUUAAAAUAUUC
Molecule: long non-coding RNA, 764 nt
Organism: Malania oleifera
Lineage: Eukaryota; Viridiplantae; Streptophyta; Magnoliopsida; Santalales; Ximeniaceae
Exons: 2
Source: RefSeq, a predicted model, not a curated record